AUGAACGCUGGCGGCGUGCCUAAUACAUGCAAGUCGAGCGAACAGAUGAGGAGCUUGCUCCUCUGACGUUAGCGGCGGACGGGUGAGUAACACGUGGAUAACCUACCUAUAAGACUGGGAUAACUUCGGGAAACCGGAGCUAAUACCGGAUAAUAUAUUGAACCGCAUGGUUCAAUAGUGAAAGACGGUUUUGCUGUCACUUAUAGAUGGAUCCGCGCCGCAUUAGCUAGUUGGUAAGGUAACGGCUUACCAAGGCAACGAUGCGUAGCCGACCUGAGAGGGUGAUCGGCCACACUGGAACUGAGACACGGUCCAGAAUCCUACGGGAGGCAGCAGUAGGGAAUCUUCCGCAAUGGGCGAAAGCCUGACGGAGCAACGCCGCGUGAGUAAUGAAGGUCUUCGGAUCGUAAAACUCUGUUAUUAGGGAAGAACAAAUGUGUAAGUAACUAUGCACGUCUUGACGGUACCUAAUCAGAAAGCCACGGCUAACUACGUG
This 496-nucleotide ribosomal RNA is filed under the name uncultured bacterium. Its description in RNAcentral is "partial 16S ribosomal RNA". It matches the Rfam family "Bacterial small subunit ribosomal RNA", at positions 29 to 507 of the family's 1533-position model. The record is from RNAcentral.